CUAAGGUCCUUGGCUUCUAAGGCAUAUAUUGGAAAGAGUAAAGCCUAACCACGACUACUCAUGGGACAUUAUUGAUUCCAACAUAACCUCCACCAAGUGAAUGGGCUUGCAAGUCAACUUGCUAAGGAAUAAAUCCACAUAAGUCAACAAGACUAUGCCAUUCUCCUAUCCUAAGUGCACUCGAGUUCGGGUAUAGAACUCAUCUCACGAAGAUCACCAAACAUACAAGGAAUUAAUAUUCAAACAAUUCAAUCAUUACAUACAAUACAGUAAUCCCAAAUUGCACAAAAAUAUGUCACAAAGCAAUAUACCAUACAAUACAACAAAUAUGAAAAGUGGCAAAAC
Molecule: long non-coding RNA, 345 nt
Filed under: Lathyrus oleraceus (garden pea)
Lineage: Eukaryota; Viridiplantae; Streptophyta; Magnoliopsida; Fabales; Fabaceae
Description: Pisum sativum (pea) long non-coding RNA (PSAT_LNC025308)
Source: RNAcentral